Molecule: long non-coding RNA, 952 nt
Organism: Brassica napus (rape)
Lineage: Eukaryota; Viridiplantae; Streptophyta; Magnoliopsida; Brassicales; Brassicaceae
Exons: 2
Source: RefSeq, a predicted model, not a curated record
CUUUCACCAAAAACAAGAAAAGCUUUAUCUUCUAUUCAUAAUGGCUAAGAAGAUUUGAUCUUGGUUUUGGUCUAGGGUUAUCUCUCUCUCUCUUCUGGGGGGUGAGAGAGGGAAACAAAAACAAACAAACAAACUCUAACAGACCAUCAAAGCAAAAGCAUUUACUGUGAGGAUAACAAUGAGAUCAUUUUUUUUUUUUUUCUGAAAAGAAUGUGUUGGAAGUUCAAAAUCUUAAUCAAUAACUGACUUUGACUGUAGCUCUAUAUAGCAACUAGGCAUCUGUGUGUGUGCCUCAUGACUCAUUUGACCACACGCUUGACCAGGAGCGUGUACCACACAGCAGCAGCAUCAUGUCAGUGACCUUUCUUCACAACACAAAAUCUACAAGACUCUUCACUGUUCAAGCAGAAAAUACUAGUCUCUAGUCUACUGUUCCUAAGGAUUGGUUAAGAGAGUGGAGUACACACGUGGGAGGAUGGAGAGUGAGAAAGGAUUGGCCUUUGAGGUCAGAGAGGUACCCACUUUGAGCGCCAUUUUGAUAAGAGGCUGAGAAGGAAGACAUAUCUCAAAAUAUCUCUCAUAAGGACCCCAUUGAUGUGAGAAAGAGAUGAUAUCAUAACCCCUUUGAGAUUUUUUUCCUGUUAGAAUCUAACUUUGUACCAAGUAAUAUGGGAGACUGUUCAUAUUAGACUUUGAUUAUGACAAUAUGUUUUAGUGUCCAUGUUCAGUGGAAAUGUAAUAAUGCAGAAAAGAUAUUGGGUAUGACUCUAUACUAUGAAUGGAAAGUCUUAUACCUAACAUUAGUCCACCUAGCAAACAAAACAGAUUAAUCAUAUUUGAUUUCAUGAUGAUCCAGAUUAAUACUGAAAGCAAAAUCUUGAUAUAAAAUCAGAGGAUAGCUUCAAACUGAUUACUUCAAAGUGUGUGUGCCAAAGAUCAUUACAAGUGAAUA